AAUCAACGCUGGCGGCGUGCCUCAGACAUGCAAGUCGAACGCGAAAGUUCCCUUCGGGGAGCGAGUAGAGUGGCGCACGGGUGAGUAACACGUAGGUAAUCUACCCUCGAGUGGGGAAUAACUCAGGGAAACUUGAGCUAAUACCGCAUAAUGCAGCGGCACCACAUGGUGACAGUUGUUAAAGCAUUUAUGCGCUUGGGGAGGAGCCUGCGGCAGAUUAGCUAGUUGGUAAGGUAAUGGCUUACCAAGGCAACGAUCUGUAACCGGCCUGAGAGGGCGGACGGUCACACUGACACUGAAUAACGGGUCAGACUCCUACGGGAGGCAGCAGUCGGAAUUUUGGCAAUGGGCGAAAGCCUGACCCAGCAACG
This 371-nucleotide ribosomal RNA is filed under the name uncultured bacterium. Its description in RNAcentral is "bacterial SSU rRNA". It matches the Rfam family "Bacterial small subunit ribosomal RNA", at positions 32 to 396 of the family's 1533-position model. The record is from RNAcentral.